CUCCGGGAAACCGGGGCUAAUACCGGAUAACAUUUUGAACCGCAUGGUUCGAAAUUGAAAGGCGGCUUCGGCUGUCACUUAUGGAUGGACCCGCGUCGCAUUAGCUAGUUGGUGAGGUAACGGCUCACCAAGGCAACGAUGCGUAGCCGACCUGAGAGGGUGAUCGGCCACACUGGGACUGAGACACGGCCCAGACUUAUACGGGAGGCAGCAGUAGGGAAUCUUCCGCAAUGGACGAAAGUCUGACGGAGCAACGCCGCGUGAGUGAUGAAGGCUUUCGGGUCGUAAAACUCUGUUGUUAGGGAAGAACAAGUGCUAGUUGAAUAAGCUGGCACCUUGACGGUACCUAACCAGAAAGCCACGGCUAACUACGUGCCAGC
RNAcentral lists this ribosomal RNA (380 nucleotides) under Bacillus cereus. RNAcentral's name for it is "bacterial SSU rRNA". It matches the Rfam family "Bacterial small subunit ribosomal RNA", at positions 147 to 512 of the family's 1533-position model. The record is from RNAcentral. Lineage: Bacteria; Bacillati; Bacillota; Bacilli; Caryophanales; Bacillaceae.